GGAUUAGAUACCCUGGUAGUCCACGCUGUAAACGGUGGGUACUAGGUGUGGGGUCCAUUCCACGGGUUCCGUGCCGUAGCUAACGCUUUAAGUACCCCGCCUGGGGAGUACGGCCGCAAGGCUAAAACUCAAAGGAAUUGACGGGGCCCCGCACAAGCGGCGGAGCAUGCGGAUUAAUUCGAUGCAACGCGUAGAACCUUACCUGGGUUUGACAUGGAUCGGGAGUGCUCAGAGAUGGGUGUGCCUCUUUUGGGGUCGGUUCACAGGUGGUGCAUGGCUGUCGUCAGCUCGUGCC
Molecule: ribosomal RNA, 295 nt
Filed under: uncultured bacterium
Lineage: Bacteria
Description: partial 16S ribosomal RNA
Rfam family: Bacterial small subunit ribosomal RNA
Source: RNAcentral